RNAcentral lists this transfer RNA (69 nucleotides) under Rattus norvegicus (Norway rat). It matches the Rfam family "tRNA". Rfam says of the family: Transfer RNA (tRNA) molecules are approximately 80 nucleotides in length. The record is from Rfam by way of RNAcentral. Lineage: Eukaryota; Metazoa; Chordata; Mammalia; Rodentia; Muridae.
GGGGAUUUAGCUCAGUGAUAGAGCGCUUGCCUAGCAAGCACAAGGCCCUGGGUUCCAUCCCCAGCUCCG